Molecule: ribosomal RNA, 242 nt
Filed under: uncultured Actinomycetales bacterium
Lineage: Bacteria; Bacillati; Actinomycetota; Actinomycetes; Actinomycetales
Description: partial 16S ribosomal RNA
Rfam family: Bacterial small subunit ribosomal RNA
Source: RNAcentral
CCUCGAGUGGCGAACGGGUGAGUAACACGUGGGUGAUCUGCCCUGCACUUCGGGAUAAGCCUGGGAAACUGGGUCUAAUACCGGAUAGGAGCCAUUUUUAGUGUGAUGGUUGGAAAGUUUUUUCGGUGUAGGAUGAGCUCGCGGCCUAUCAGCUUGUUGGUGGGGUAAUGGCCUACCAAGGCGGCGACGGGUAGCCGGCCUGAGAGGGUGGACGGCCACAUUGGGACUGAGAUACGGCCCAG